CUUUUGUUCAACUUUGUUCGACAUUUUUGGGACCUUCUAGGGCAUUCUCUUGCAGUCUUGCUCUCUGGUCUUUUUCUCGGUUAUGUUCUUUUUCUUUUCCCUCAUUCAUUCUUGCUUUGUUUGAAGUUUUUUGCAUCAAUUAAGUGAUGCAUAUUGGUAAUUUACUUUAAUGUUAUAGUCUUAUGAAGGAUUUUGAGGUCUUCACUUUGAAAUUGGGAUUUUAAGAAUUUGAUUGAACUCUCAUGAUUAGACAAUUGAAAGAUUUGAAGCUCAUACAUGAUUAAAGAUUGAAUUAGAUACUUCGGUGCUGUCAGAGAUUAGGUUCGGAUGUAAUUGUAUAACAUCUUGUUGAUUGUUCUGGUGAGUUAUGUUCUUCUCUAUCACUGCUGCUCAAUUUUUGUUUUCAAUCUCUGAGGUUGUUUCCAUACAUUCUCCAUCUGUUCCUUCAUGCCCUAUUUUCAUUAUUUUUCUCUCCUUUUUCCUGGCUUGAUCAGUUUCUCUUUUUUUCUUUUACCCUUUAAUCGUCGCUUUAAUUCUCUUUCUCUUCGCUCCAGUUUCUAUUGCAUGUUCUUGCAUCGACUUUCUACUUCUACUACUUUUCUUUGAUAAGUUCAAAGAUACCUAUUACUGCAUUUUUAAUGCUCGUAGGGAACUGGAAAAGGAAAACAUCUGCUUUCGACCUUGGUGUUUGCCUUUUCCAAUGUUUAUCGAAGUUGGAAAGCUGGACUAUAUGCUAAAGUAGUUGAUCCUCAUUUUGAAAUAUCUUUUUGUUGUGGACUACAAACGUAAAUGGAUUUUAAUAUAGUAUCCUUGUUAAUGAUUUUUGCUUAUGUUAGAUGUUUGUUGCAGUAGUUGGGGUUUCAUAAAGAAUUGCUUCCAUGUGCAGAUUACGUGACUUAGUUUAGUCCUAUGUAAACAUGUUUACUCAGAAGAACUAAAAAAACAUACUAAUAGCAAGGUGUUUUAAACUUAAAUAGCACGUACUGAUCAAAUACAAAGAUAAUUUCCGAUCAAAGCGCUUAGCUCAGUGAGGGCUUCACGUAAAAAUCAAAUUAUUUGCUUGCUAAUAUUUAGUGUACUAUUACUUAUUCGCUUCUUCUUUCAUAAUCUUCUGUUAUUAAAACAACAUAUGUUGGAGUUAAGCAAAUCAAUCUGUUAGUAGCUUCUAUUACUAGGGUUAAAUCCGUCCCUAAGGCUUGUGGUAGGUUUAGUCAAGAAUUUUUAAGAGAAAACACAUUAACUUCUUUGAUUGCUGGUCAUGUUCAUAUUUCUCACUCUUGUUUUCCUAGGCAUCCAAUUUUGCUGUGUUUGUUUUUGAGUUGGUAAGAUUGAAAAAAACUUCUAGCCAUCCAAAUAAUGCUUAAGCUCAUCGGUCAGUGAAGCACAUAAUCAUCAAUUAUAUUUUCCAUGACUUUUUACUUUGAUUAACAGGCACAAUUGUAUUUCUACGUUGGGAUCUUGUUGUUAUUUAUAAUUUGUGUAUCCAAAUUACCUAUUAAAAAACGUUAACGAAUAUACAUUUCUAAUCAGAAUAUUGAAGGUAAAACGCUCUUGAUCAUUCUUCACUAAAUUUUGAGGAAAUUGACUAUAUCUCUGCUUUGGGCAUUAUUUUUCGGGAUAUUCCAGCAAGAACAAGGACCAGUUAGAAGCAGGACACAAAUGCCCCUGCUACUUAUUCCACAUAGCAAGAAAAAGGAUGAGAAAUAUGAUUGUAUAGCUAUAUUUAUGAAAUAUAUUUAAUUGUUUUUUCAAUUUAUGUGAUCGCUAAAGAAGUCUUUUCAUAUAUCAACUAACGGUGGUUUCCUUGUUAAGGAUUCUUGUGAUAAGAUAAUAGUUAGCAGGAGCAGCAAUUGAGUAUUGGGAUUGCCUUUUUUGUUUGUGGGGUUGGUGUUACAGGUUUGUAAAAAUUUUUUGGUGGCUGAGUGUGUGUGCUGUAAAGGUUGGACCAUGGUGUUGCUUCUUUUAAUACUUUAUUUCUCAAUAACAUAUGAAUGGUAGUUUAUUACAAAAUAUCUACCCAUGAGUUCUUUGCAUGAUUAUUUCGGCAGGAAAAAGAGGGUGCACCAAUGUUGGGGGUUUCGUCAGAUUGUAGCCUAUCCCACCAUGAAGUUCAUGAGCUGCUUGAUGAAGAAUUAUUUGGGAUCCUAUGGUACUUCCAAGUUCCAAUGGAGUAAGAGGUAUUGCUUUUGUUGAUGGACUUUUUAUAAGUAAUGCUUCUGUUGAUGGACAAAACAACACAAAGAUGGCGCUCACUGACAGGAACCAAAGUUUAGCCUAAUCUAUCAACUAUCUAAUCUUGCUGAGAAGCUAGAAAUUGCGACCAAAGUUGCAACACAUUCUUAAAGUUGCAACACAAAGCUGAUUGACUUAAUUAAAUUUGUUUCAGGGAAGCAGCGGCAAGCAUUCUCUACGUCAGAGUAUUAUCGGAUUCAACUUACACCAACCUUCAAAAGUAUUUAGUUUUUGGUAAUCCUGUUGAACGAUUGGAACAAGUUUGGAAUCAUCUUCUUAGUGUUUAACUAUUUUUGCUACCUUUGAUUGUACAAAAAAUAUAAAUAUCGACUAUUAAUAAGUGAAACUUUCCAUGGACGACGAAGGGUACACUUGGUAUUUCAAAUUAUUUGUACAGCCUACGUGUUACUCGUGUACGUCCCCACGUGUGUCCACGCUGAUAUCGAAGUUUUCACUUUCAUUCCUCUGGUUUCUUUCUUUUGGCAUUUGCCACUUCUUUUUCCUUCCCGCUUUUUUCACAUUUCUUCAGUUCCAGUUCAUCUAUGUUCAGCUAUUAUUUUCCCCAAUUUCGCUGUGCUUUAAAAUCUGUUGCUCUCUUCUAAUCUUCCACUUUAUCUUGACCUAAUCGCGUUGUGGUUCAAUUUGAUUUCAUGCGGUAGCUUCGACUAUUUUAUAUUUGUGCAUUGAAGUAGCCAACCAAAUGGACCUGAUCAAUGUACUGGAGAUAUAGCGGUUUUCAUAAUUACUUCGGCAACAGUCGCAGAAGACUCCAAUUGGUAGGAAUGAUCUAUAAAUAUUCUUUCCUUUCCUUGAGGGUCAUCUAAAGACAUUGCAACCUUUAAGAGUGUCGUGACUCGUGAUAUUAUCCCCUUGGAAGGAGUACCAUGUGAAGAUAAUAUUUCAACUCAAGUAAAAAGAAAGAACUUUACCUUAACAAUCGCCAACAGCAUUGUCGAAAAGCUUUAUAAUAUAUGAGUAAUAGCCAUGACGAAGAUGAAGCGAUGCAGGUGCUCUAGGCUUUCAUAUGAUUUAAAAGGUUCAUGGUUCUGACAAAAUGUUUGACUCGGAUUAAUAACACUAUGUUAGAAACAAUUUAGAAAGACAGAGAAGCUAUGCAACCAAAGGCAAUAAACUUAAAAAAAUAGUUAUCUGCUUUUUGAAGGAUAAUGAGUUGCAGGUACAUCUUAUGGCAACAUAAAUAGAUUUGAUACAAGAUAUUGGAAUAAUGGUCUCAUAUGCCACAUAGAAGAUCAAAUUUACCUCUCCGUGUGUUUGAUUGAAGAAAACGUUUGCACUCAAUGUGAUGUUCGAGAACAUUGACAAGGAACUACAUUUCUUGCUUGAAGAUAUGGGAUUAUCUUUUGGUUUUAGCAAUCCUAAUGAUAUCAAAGCAGUGAUCAAUAUUCCUUAAUCAAGGUUCCUUCAAUGUGGAGUUUGUAGAACUUCUUGACAGAUGUUUCACAAUCUUAGCAUGAUAAAUUUAAAAACAUCCAUCUUCAUCA
Molecule: long non-coding RNA, 3734 nt
Organism: Lycium ferocissimum
Lineage: Eukaryota; Viridiplantae; Streptophyta; Magnoliopsida; Solanales; Solanaceae
Exons: 6
Source: RefSeq, a predicted model, not a curated record